CACAGAGCCCUGGAGCCUUGCUGCAGCAAGCCUCCAGCUCGCGGUCUCUCCCUCAGGACCAAGAGACGUUGGUGUGCAGGAGAUUCUGUGCAUGUGUUUUUCAUUCCCUAGUGGAUUUGUUUCAAAGACAUUGUCAUCUGUGUAGAAGCCAGUUUCAAUCUCUGGCUUCUACCCCUUGCCCUGCUGGCAGGGCAUUGAGCGGCACCCGUUGCCGGCCACCUGGGUGCAGAGAUCGAGGACGGUGAAGGGAGGAGCAACCCUGAGCAUCUGCCAUCCAGCUCCAUCCAAUCUAGAGCAAUUCCAGGAUGGAGCGAAUCAGGCGGAUGCUCAGGAGGAAGGCCGGGCAGGUGGCUCCAGAGCCGGCAGCAAACAUCCGCCAGCCUGCCCAGGAGGAGAGCGGCCCCUCUGUCCCCGCGGGCGGGGAAGAGGCUCGUGGCCAGGGGAAAGGGAGGAGCUGCGUCGCCUGCUGGAGGAGGAGGAAGACAGCAGCUCCCCUAGCUGAACCUGCGGCACCUUCUGGGCAGAAAUGGAGGUGGCCCCGGGUUCAGCUGUGGAGGAGAGAGCCAGGGGGGCAGGAGCCGGGCAAUGCAGCUCGGGGGAUUCCUUUGCAGGAAGCCAAGGAGCCAGGAGCUGCGUCCCAGGGCCCAGCAGGAGCCGCCAACCACCCUGGCCCCAGAGGGGCCUCCCGCCAGCCCCACCCUGGCACCUGUGGCGCCUCCUCCCAGCCCAGAGCAGGAGUUGAGCAACUGCGGGACAAACACCAGCAGCUCUGUAUUCUCCUGCGGGGCCAGCAGCUCCUCCGUGGGGUUUGGCAGCCCUGUGUUGCUAGGCUCCCUCUUUGGAGACACCCCCAGUGCCCAGGUGCCGUGGCCUGAGGAGGAGGAGCAGGAGGAGGAGGAGGA
Mauremys reevesii (Reeves's turtle) is the source of this 902-nucleotide long non-coding RNA. RefSeq lists it as uncharacterized. Lineage: Eukaryota; Metazoa; Chordata; Testudines; Geoemydidae. The record is from RefSeq and is a predicted model, not a curated record. The transcript is spliced from 4 exons.